GAAUGAAGAACGUAGUGAAAUGCGAUAAUUAAUGUGAAUUGCAGAAUUCAGUGAAUCAUCGAGUCUUUGAACGCACAUUGCGCCCCCUGGUAUUCCGGGGGGCAUGCCUGUCCGAGCGUCAUUGCUGCCCUCAAGCACGGCUUGUGUGUUGGGCUUCCGUCCCUGGCAACGGGGACGGGCCCAAAAGGCAGUGGCGGCACCAUGUCUGGUCCUCGAGCGUAUGGGGCUUUGUCACCCGCUCCCGUAGGUCCAGCUGGCAGCUAGCCUCGCAACCAAUCUUUUUAACCAGGUUGACCUCGGAUCAGGUAGGGAUACCCGCUGAACUUAAGCAUAUCAAUAAGCGGAGGA
Molecule: unclassified non-coding RNA, 348 nt
Filed under: soil metagenome
Description: partial contains 5.8S ribosomal RNA, internal transcribed spacer 2, and large subunit ribosomal RNA
Rfam family: 5.8S ribosomal RNA (bases 3-121)
Source: RNAcentral